AAAACGACUCUCGGCAACGGAUAUCUCGGCUCACGCAUCGAUGAAGAACGUAGCAAAAUGCGAUACUUGGUGUGAAUUGCAGAAUCCCGUGAACCAUCGAGUUUUUGAACGCAAGUUGCGCCCGAAGCCAUCCGGUUGAGGGCACGUCUGCCUGGGCGUCACG
This 163-nucleotide ribosomal RNA is filed under the name Helianthus tuberosus. Its description in RNAcentral is "5.8S ribosomal RNA". It matches the Rfam family "5.8S ribosomal RNA". From Rfam's summary of the family: 5.8S ribosomal RNA (5.8S rRNA) is a component of the large subunit of the eukaryotic ribosome. It is transcribed by RNA polymerase I as part of the 45S precursor that also contains 18S and 28S rRNA. Functionally, it is thought that 5.8S rRNA may be involved in ribosome translocation. RNAcentral also lists the same sequence under 18 other names. Lineage: Eukaryota; Viridiplantae; Streptophyta; Magnoliopsida; Asterales; Asteraceae. The record is from RNAcentral.